This 460-nucleotide ribosomal RNA is filed under the name uncultured bacterium. RNAcentral describes it as "partial 16S ribosomal RNA". It matches the Rfam family "Bacterial small subunit ribosomal RNA", at positions 338 to 795 of the family's 1533-position model. The record is from RNAcentral.
CCUACGGGAGGCAGCAGUGAGGAAUAUUGGUCAAUGGGCGGAAGCCUGAACCAGCCAAGUAGCGUGCGGGAUGAAGGCCCUACGGGUCGUAAACCGCUUUUGCACGGGGCUAACACCCUCCACUUGUGGAGGUCUGCAGGUACCGGGCGAAUAAGUGCCGGCUAAUUCCGUGCCAGAAGCGGCGGUAAUACGGAGGGGGGAAGCGUUAUCCGGAUGUACGGGGGUUAAAGGGAGCGUAGAAGGUGUAGCAAGUCUGAGGGGAAAGUUCGGGGCCCAACCCCGGGACUGCAUUGGACACUGGUUAACUGGAGUACAGGAGAGGUAGGCGGAAUUCGUGGUGGAGCGGUGAAAUGCGUAGAUAUUAGGAGGAACACCAGUGGCGAAGGCGGCUUACUGGACUAUAACUGACGUUGAGGCUCGAAAGCGUGGGGAGCAAACAGGAGUAGAUACCCCAGUAGUC